GUGAAUUUCAAGAAGUGGCAGAAGCAGGAAAACGAGGAAGGAUCCAGUACAAAAAGGGGUUCGAAUUUCCUGAAGUAGUGGAUACGCUGGUGAGAGAAGGUGAUCACGUGCUGAUGAUCGAAGACUUGACGGCCAGAGUGCUGAUGGCUCACCUUUUUUCGUUGACGGGCCAAUGUGACUUCUACACUUCCAGGGACGCUUAUCUUCCAUAUUUCUUUGCUAUGAUUACUAAGAAGAACAGUCGGCUAACUAUUCACCUUAAUAAACAGAUACGGUCUGUAACUGAAGGAGGACUGUACGAACGUUGGAUUGCUGAUGCCAUCCCCAAUUCAACCACGUGCUUGUCAGCACCGAACACCAUCACCGUCACCUCACGCCUUUCACUGAAAAACUUUUGGGUGAGGAAGACUUUAUGCUUAUCACUGUGUUUAAGUGGUAAAUACACAUUAUUAAUUUUCAAAAUGUACACUAAGAGUACAAUUUCACUGUUUGUAUAUGAUUUGAAAUCAUCUUAGAAAAUGCCUUAUUAAUUUAUUUUUUUUGUUUUUGUUUUCAGGGAUUAUUUUUGUUGCCCCCAGGAGGAUUUCUCUUUGCCUCUCUUGUGCUAUGCUUUGAAAUAUUUGCAGGAACAAGUUCCUCUGAAUAUUAAUGUCAUAUGAACACACCAUGAGUAAAGAUCUGAUAUGGACAUUGUAUCAUGGUGUAUAAUACUGUAUACAACAAACACAAAUAGGAAUGAAAAAAAAAAUGUAUACAAAAUAAUAAAUCGGGGAAUGUUUUAACUUCUUUGGUUUCAAUUGCCUAUGCAUAUAUCGGCAAACCAGGUGGGGAAACCAGUAGGUCAACACAAAG
This is a long non-coding RNA of Scylla paramamosain (green mud crab), 852 nucleotides long. RefSeq lists it as uncharacterized. Lineage: Eukaryota; Metazoa; Arthropoda; Malacostraca; Decapoda; Portunidae. The transcript is spliced from 3 exons. The record is from RefSeq and is a predicted model, not a curated record.